UGGGGAAUAUUGGACAAUGGGGGCAACCCUGAUCCAGCAAUGCCGCGUGUGUGAAGAAGGUCUUCGGAUUGUAAAGCACUUUCGACGGGGACGACGAUGACGGUACCCGUAGAAGAAGCCCCGGCUAACUUCGUGCCAGCAGCCGCGGUAAUACGAAGGGGGCUAGCGUUGCUCGGAAUGACUGGGCGUAAAGGGCGUGUAGGCGGUUUACACAGUCAGAUGUGAAAUCCCCGGGCUUAACCUGGGAGCUGCAUUUGAUACGUGUAGACUAGAGUGUGAGAGAGGGUUGUGGAAUUCCCAGUGUAGAGGUGAAAUUCGUAGAUAUUGGGAAGAACACCGGUGGC
Molecule: ribosomal RNA, 344 nt
Filed under: uncultured bacterium
Lineage: Bacteria
Description: partial 16S ribosomal RNA
Rfam family: Bacterial small subunit ribosomal RNA
Source: RNAcentral